UGGGGAAUAUUGCGCAAUGGGGGCAACCCUGACGCAGCAAUACCGCGUGAGUGAAGAAGGUUUUCGGAUCGUAAAGCUCUGUUAUUGGGGAAGAAAACAUGACGGUACCCAAUGAGGAAGUCCCGGCUAACUACGUGCCAGCAGCCGCGGUAAUACGUAGGGGACAAGCGUUGUCCGGAAUGACUGGGCGUAAAGGGCGCGUAGGCGGUCUAUUAAGUCUGAUGUGAAAGGUACCGGCUCAACCGGUGAAGUGCAUUGGAAACUGGUAGACUUGAGUAUUGGAGAGGCAAGUGGAAUUCCUAGUGUAGCGGUGAAAUGCGUAGAUAUUAGGAGGAACACCAGUGGCGAAGGCGGCUUGCUGGACAAAUACUGACGCUGAGGUGCGAAAGCGUGGGGAGCGAACAGGA
Molecule: ribosomal RNA, 407 nt
Filed under: uncultured bacterium
Lineage: Bacteria
Description: bacterial SSU rRNA
Rfam family: Bacterial small subunit ribosomal RNA
Source: RNAcentral